Molecule: RNA transcript, 1817 nt
Organism: Cucurbita pepo subsp. pepo (vegetable marrow)
Lineage: Eukaryota; Viridiplantae; Streptophyta; Magnoliopsida; Cucurbitales; Cucurbitaceae
Gene name: 26S proteasome non-ATPase regulatory subunit 8 homolog A
Source: RefSeq, a predicted model, not a curated record
AGACCCAGUUACGAAUGAAAAUUGUUAGUAGUGGAUUUGGACGGUUAUAAAUAGUAUCAGAGCCUGUUAUCAAUAGAAAUUACUACCGAAAGUUUAAGCUGGAUUGUUACAAAUGGUUACAAAUGGCUAACAGUAAGUUUGAGCUGGCUUGUUACAAAUGGAAGUUUGAGUUGGAUAGUUACAAGUUGGGUAGUUACAAAUGGAAGUUUGAGCCGGGGAGUUUGAGCUGGAUUGUUACAAAUGGCUAGCAGUAAGUUUGAGUUGGAUUGUUACAAAUGGUGGAGAGCCGGUUACCGGUUACCGAAUAGUGCAAGACACUAGUUAGGAUUAAAUCACUUCAAGACACUAGUUAGGAUUAAACCACUUCCCUAAUAGACAGGUUUUAAAACCGUGAGGUUGAUGGUGAUGACUAUACGUAACGAAAUAUAUCUGCUGCUAGUGAUGAUGUUAUAUAGUAAUACAUUAUCGUUGGAGCGAUUUACAACUCAAUGACAAGAUAAUUUCACACGUGUGAAAAACUAAAAGCAUGCAAUACAGUUUAACUUAAUUUAAAUAACUUAGCCUAAUUUUUUUAAGUAUGAUUAGUAAUAAAUUUCCUCUCCUAAGUCGGGUUGUUCUAUAAGUUUAUUACAGUAUCUGGGUCGGGUAUGGGUGUCGGUUCGGAUUCGACCCAUUUGUGAGUCUUAGAGAAAGUGCAAAUCCUUCUUGAAGAGCAAGCAAAGACAACAAACAAAGGUGACCAUCUUCAUUUCAAUUUCAUCUGAGAGAUGCGGAGGAAGAAAUUGAAGGAGACGAAGAUCGCCAUGGAUCCAAAGCUAACUGAGGUCUCGCAGCACUUCGAUCGCUUCAAAGCUGCGUUUGUUAGGCACGAUAACGAUUCUUGUAGCAAUCUCCUCCCUCAGCUGAAGGUUCUUUUAACUGGAUUUAGAAGUCUUCCACCAUUGUUUGAAGAUACGCCCAAUGCAGUCCAUGAAUUGACGGUAGCUAGGGAUAUAUACGAGCAUGCUGUAUUACUUAGUGUGAAGAUUGAAGAUCAAGAUGCAUUUGAAAGAGAUUUCUUCCAAUUGAAGCCUUACUAUACUGAUGCUCGUAACUGCCUUCCGCCAUCCCCUCAGGAGUAUCCCAUCUUGGGUCUCAACCUUUUGAGGCUUCUUGUACAGAACAGAAUUGCUGAAUUUCAUACUGAACUUGAACUUCUCUCCACCUCUGCUUUGGAGAACCCAUGCAUUAAACAUGCUGUAGAGCUGGAGCAAUCUUUCAUGGAAGGGGCUUACAACCGUGUAUUGAGUGCUCGACAGACAGUGCCACAUGAAACCUUUGGUUAUUUUAUGGACCUCCUUGCAAAGACUGUAAGGGAUGAAAUAGCCGGUUGCAGUGAAAAGGCAUAUGAUUAUCUUUCAAUAAGUAAUGCCCGCCAAAUGCUGCUGUUUUCCUCUGACCAGGAACUUUUGGAAUAUGUCAAGGAGGAGCAUCCCGAGUGGGAGAUAACGAACGGCAUCUUAUAUUUCCAGAAGGUGAAAGAAUCUGCACCUUGCAAGGAAAUUCCUUCUCUUCAACUUAUCAACCAAACACUCAGUUACGCAAGGGAGUUGGAGCGGAUUGUAUGAACCAAGCUAGCAGCUUCUCAUGAUUGUCAUCUGCAGAUUUACAACAUGCCUAGAGCAGAGUUGCUUCAGGUUCGGAAAUUUUUGAAGCGAUGAAAAAAUGAAAUAAUUAGAGGAGAAAGGUACGUUAUAAUAUUCUAAACUUUUUAUCCAUGUUCCAUUGACCUGGAGUUUAUUAAUUUUUAGAUUAGUUAUGAUUUCAGAACUUCUAUU